GAUGCUUCAUCUCGACCACCGUGAAGGCGACCGCGGGGUGGCUAAUAUUACACUGGACUACUGGUUGAAUGCAAACAUUAUGCAAAGUUCAAAUACGGAUACAUUUUCUGUCGUUCCUGUUCCCUUUACCG
This is a non-coding RNA of Caenorhabditis elegans, 131 nucleotides long. The record is from Ensembl. Lineage: Eukaryota; Metazoa; Nematoda; Chromadorea; Rhabditida; Rhabditidae.